RNAcentral lists this unclassified non-coding RNA (230 nucleotides) under uncultured fungus. RNAcentral describes it as "sequence contains ITS1, 5.8S rRNA gene". The stretch from base 182 to 230 matches the Rfam family "5.8S ribosomal RNA", at positions 1 to 49 of the family's 154-position model. The record is from RNAcentral. Lineage: Eukaryota; Fungi.
UCUCCGUAGGUGAACCUGCGGAGGGAUCAUUACUGAGUGAGGGCCCCCGGCCCGACCUCCAACCCUUUGUGUAUCUCGACCCUGUUGCCUCGGGGGCGACCCGGCCGCUUCGGCGGUGCGGCGCCCCCCGGAGGCCAUUAAACACUGCAUCAUUGCGUCGGAGUUAAAGUAAAUUAAACAAAACUUUCAACAACGGAUCUCUUGGUUCUGGCAUCGAUGAAGAACGCAGC